This 300-nucleotide ribosomal RNA is filed under the name uncultured Adlercreutzia sp. RNAcentral describes it as "bacterial SSU rRNA". It matches the Rfam family "Bacterial small subunit ribosomal RNA", at positions 496 to 795 of the family's 1533-position model. The record is from RNAcentral. Lineage: Bacteria; Bacillati; Actinomycetota; Coriobacteriia; Eggerthellales; Eggerthellaceae.
GCAAAGUAUGUGCCGGCGGGUAGGGUAAUACGGGGGAUGCGGAGGUUGUCUGGAAUUAGUGGGCGUAAAGGGGUCGUAGGGUGUUGGUGGCGUCGGGAGUGAAAUCCACUGGCUUAACUGGUGGCGUGCUUUCGAUACGGGCAGACUGGAGGUAUGCAGGGGAGAACGGAAUUCCUGGUGUAGCGGUGAAAUGCGCAGAUAUCAGGAGGAACACCGGUGGCGAAGGCGGUUCUCUGGGCAUGUCCUGACGCUGAGGAGCGAAAGUGUGGGGAGCGAACAGGAUUAGAUACCCCAGUAGUC